RNAcentral lists this ribosomal RNA (301 nucleotides) under uncultured bacterium. RNAcentral describes it as "partial 16S ribosomal RNA". It matches the Rfam family "Bacterial small subunit ribosomal RNA", at positions 509 to 807 of the family's 1533-position model. The record is from RNAcentral.
CAGUCGCCACGGUAAUACAGAGGGUGCGAGCGUUAAUCGGAUUUACUGGGCGUAAAGCGUGCGUAGGCGGCUAAUUGAGUCGGAUGUGAAAUCCCCGAGCUUAACUUGGGAAUUGCAUUCGAUACUGGUUAGCUAGAGUGUGGGAGAGGAUGGUAGAAUUCCAGGUGUAGCGGUGAAAUGCGUAGAGAUCUGGAGGAAUACCGAUGGCGAAGGCAGCCAUCUGGCCUAACACUGACGCUGAGGUACGAAAGCAUGGGGAGCAAACAGGAUUAGAUACCCGCGUAGUCCCUGUCUCUUAUAC